AUGGACCCGGAGCCGCGGCGGUGGGCGGCGACGUACACCACGCAGGUGAGGCAGAAGCGCAAGGCCUACCACGACGGGGUCCUCCUCCUCCGCCCGGACUCCCGCCGCCUCGUCCUCCUCGACGACGCCGGUGUCACCAUCGACGCCAGGUCCCUCCGCGCCGGCGAGUCCGUGUCCGAGGGCGCCUCCGUCGAGUUCCCGUGCCACCUCGUCGACGUCGGCGAGGCCCAGCGCGUCCCCACCACCGCCCGCCCCGGAAGGCCCUCCGAGCCCGCCGCUCCCAGAGCCGCCCACCGCGGCGGCGCCAGGGCGCGUCAGAGCGCGGCCAACACCUGCGCUCCCCGCGCGUUCGUGAAACCUCCCAAGAGCGGCGCCGGCAAGACCGAAGCCACGGGCUCCGGCUGCGCCAGGUCCGCCGGUUCGACGUCCCAAGAGUGGAGCGCGAUGUACACCACCCAGGUUUCGCAGAAGGCUAAGAGGUAUCACGACGGUUUCCUGAAGCUCGUUCAAUCUGGGUUGUAUUCCAAGCAGAUCGUUUUGCUGGAUGAAGAGGGCCAAGUACUGGGGACCAGGCACCUCAAGUCAGGGGAGUGUGUGGAAAGCGGCAAGAAAUGCAGUUUUCCUGGCUAUCUGAUUGAGAUCGGCAAGGCCACAAAUCUAAACAAAGGUGGAGAUCCUAAAUCUUCAGAAGAACACAUGAUGCAGACAAGACCAAAGGGAGUGGAGAAUGCGAAUAGCAAAAUGGGAAUUGGAACAACAAGUUCCCUGAAAUUCAUCAGUCCACAGAAGUUCCAUUGUUUUGACAAGAGUAAAUCAGAAGCCACUUCUGGUUCUAACAAGCCAGAGCUUGGAAAGAGUGAAGUUGCAGCUGCUGGCAGCACAGGGAGCCUUAUGGGUUCGGCAGACUCAAGUUUCAAAGAAGUGGAAUGGAGUGUCUUAUACACCGCCCAACUAAUUCAAAAGGCAAAGAAGUUUCAUGAUGGCGUUAUAAGGCUUGUCCAAGCUGGUCCAAAUGUAAAGCAGAUUCUUUUACUGGAUGAAGAAGGUGGAGUGCUUGGCACCAGAUAUUUCAAUUCAGGUGAAUCUAUUGAAUGUGGAAAGAGAUGUCAGUUUCCUAAUUAUAUUAUCGAAGUCACUGAGCUCAGAAAUAAAAUGAAAGAUGUAGAACAUACACAUGCUGCUGGGGAGGCUUCAAGUCACACAGUGCCUAAGAAUGGAGAGAAUACGCGUGAAAAGGAUGACAAAAGUAAAUCUCCAAAGUUUGUUAGUCCAUUCAGGCUCCAUGAUCAUCGGAAGACUAAAACAAGAAGCACUACCGACUCUAACAAGCCACAGGUCGGAAAAUCAGCAUGUAGUAACGUGGGCGAUCCACUUAACUAUCAUGUAUUUACAGAUCUUCAGAGGGGUAAACCAGAUUGCACGGUUGGUUACAGAAGAACAGACCUGGGGUCAACAUCUAGUGACAUCGAUAAUCAACAUAAAUUCAAUGAUUUUGCAGAUAACCAGAGGGGCACAUCAGAAUUUUCUACCAGCAAAUCAACAUUUAAUGACCUGGGAAAAUCAGCAUUUGGUGGCAUGGAUGAUCCACAUAAAUUUGAUGAUUUUGCAGACACCCAGAGGGGUACAUCAGGAUUUUCUACCAGUUAUAACCGGCCAGAAGUUGGCAAAUCAACAUUUAAUGACCUGGGAAAAUCAACAUUUGGUGGCAUGGAUGAUCCGCAUAAAUUUGAUGAUAUCCAUAGGGGUAAGUCAGGAUUUUCUACCAGCUAUAACCGGCCAGAAGUUGACAAAUCAAUUCUUAAUAGAAUGGAUGAUCCACUAAAAUUUUGUGGUCUUCGGGAUGGGAAAUCAGUGUGUCCCACUAGUUUUGUCGGGAGAGAGGUUGGAAAAUUAACAUUUGGCAACGCUGAUGAUUCUUUACGGACUGCUUCCCAAAUACUAUCUAUCAUGAAGCCCCCAGCUGGAUUGUCUCACUUCGCUACCCAGCUUCGUACAUCUGUGCAAUCUUGCUUGAAGCUGGAUACUGCACAGGCAAAGAACUCAGUAAUCACUCAUAAUAGGAAUGAAUUAUCAGGGAAUGCGUAUCGAAGUUACAAUCAUCAGGCCAUCAUGAAACCACCAGCUUUUGAUGCUUCGGACUUGGAAUUGAUAGAUCUCCCAGGAUCUGAGAUGUGCAAUGCAAACGAGCAGAAACUAGUAUCGUCAGGCAAUCUUAACACUGUAAACUGUAAUGGUACAGGUUCUGCGCCAAUUUCGAAUGUCACUAGCAUGCCAAACUUGCGAGAAGACAAAAGUGGAACUGCAGAUCAGCUCGGCGCAAAUAACACAGCAGAGGACCCCAAAUAUGACAGUGGCCCUUCUCGUACAUGUAGAGAUCCCACGAUCCAGGAUUUGAUAGAUGACUGCCCUUCUUUUGAUCUUGGCUUCUAA
Molecule: ribosomal RNA, 2430 nt
Filed under: Triticum aestivum (bread wheat)
Lineage: Eukaryota; Viridiplantae; Streptophyta; Magnoliopsida; Poales; Poaceae
Description: partial small subunit ribosomal RNA
Source: RNAcentral